CUCAUUAAAAGAGUGCGUAAUAGCUCACUGGUCGAGUGACUCUGCGCCGAAAAUUUAACGGGGCUAAAUCGUACACCGAAGCUUGGGAUGUUAGAUGUUAGACAGUAGACAUUAGACAAUAGAUGAGGAGCUCAGAAAUGAACGGUUAUGAGAAAUUGCAGGUGUAUCAAAGAGGAUAUGCGGCAGCGAAAAGCGUUUACAGGAUGACGGAGAGUUAUCCGAAAGAAGAGCGCUAUGGAAUAACCGAUCAGAUGAGACGAGCAGCAGUAUCAGUAGCAUUGAAUAUCGCAGAAGGAUAUGCAAAGAAAGAUAGUCAGCCGGAAUUUAAAAGAUUUCUGGAAAUGGCAAAAGGUUCUGCAUAUGAAAUGAGUGUCUUGAUAGAUUUGUCAAGAGAUUUAGGAUAUAUCAAUGAUGAAAAGCAUGACAAAGCAUUAAAAGAGUAUGAAGAAAUCUCAAAGAUGCUGAGUGUACUGGUAAAGCGCAUAAGAUCCAAUAUCUAAAAUCUAAUAUCUAGCGUCUAACAUCUAACAUGGUAGGAGAGCGUUGAAUGCGGGGUGAAGUCAGAGCGAAAGCGCUGGUGGACUGCAUUGAAGUGAGAAUGCCGGAAUGAGUAGCGAGAUUUAUGUGAGAAUCAUAAAGGCCGAAAGACUAAGGUUUCAGAAGGAAGGUUCGUCCGCUUCUGGUUAGCCGGGAGCUAAGGUGAGGCCGAAAGGCGUAGCCGAUGCACAUACGGUGGAGAUUCCGUAGCCGUCAAAAUAUUUAAGCAAAGGGACACUUAUGAAGGGCAUGACCCGGGCGAUGGUAGCCCCGGGCGUAAGGGACCGAAAAUAAGUAGGGAAGCAUGUUUGGAAUAAGGCGAGAAAAGCUUUGUGAAUAUAUGAGACGUCCGUACCGCAAACCGACACAGGUAGUCAGGAAGAGGAUUCUAAGGCCAACGGGAGAAGGGUAGUUAAGGAACUCGGCAAAUUGACCCCGUAACUUCGGAAUAAGGGGCGGUGCGUAAGCACCCGCAGUGAAUAGGUCCAGGCGACUGUUUAUCAAAAACACAGCUCUCUGCUAAAUCGAAAGAUGACGUAUAGGGGGUGACACCUGCCCGGUGCUGGAAGGUUAAGAGGAGGAGUGCAAGCUCCGAAUUGAAGCCCCAGUAAACGGCGGCCGUAACUAUAACGGUCCUAAGGUAGCGAAAUUCCUUGUCGGGUAAGUUCCGACCCGCACGAAUGGUGUAACGAUCUGGACGCUGUCUCAACUGCCCACCCGGCGAAAUUGUAGUACCGGUGAAGAUGCCGGUUACCCGCGGCAAGACGGAAAGACCCCAUGGAGCUUUACUGUAACUUGAUAUUGGGUCUUGGUAUUCUAUGUACAGGAUAGGCGGGAGACUGUGAAACAUACACGCCAGUGUAUGCGGAGUCACCCUUGGGAUACCGCUCUUAGAGUACUGAGAUUCUAACCUGCGGCCGUGAAUCCGGUCGGGGGACAUUGUCAGGUGGGCAGUUUGACUGGGGCGGUCGCCUCCUAAAAGGUAACGGAGGCGCUCAAAGGUUAGCUCAGCACGGUCGGAAACCGUGCCUCUGAGUGUAAACGCAAAAGCUAGCCUAACUGCGAGGCUGACGGGCCGAGCAGUAACGAAAGUUGGAGUUAGUGAUCCGGCGGUAUGUGAAUGGAAAUGCCGUCGCUCAACGGAUAAAAGCUACCCUGGGGAUAACAGGCUGAUCUCCCCCAAGAGUCCACAUCGACGGGGAGGUUUGGCACCUCGAUGUCGGCUCAUCACAUCCUGGGGCUGGAGUAGGUCCCAAGGGUUGGGCUGUUCGCCCAUUAAAGUGGUACGCGAGCUGGGUUCAGAACGUCGUGAGACAGUUCGGUCCCUAUCUGUCGUGGGCGCAGGAUAUUUGAAAGGAGCUGUCCCUAGUACGAGAGGACCGGGAUGGACGCACCUCUGGUGCACCAGUUGUCACGCCAGUGGCACAGCUGGGCAGCUAUGUGCGGAACGGAUAAACGCUGAAAGCAUCUAAGCGUGAAGCCGCCUCCAAGAUAAGAUAUCCCAUAGCAUAAGCUAGUAAGACCCCUCAUGGACUAAGAGGUUGAUAGGCUGCAUGUGUAAGCGUGGUGACACGUUUAGCUUGGCAGUACUAAUAGGUCGAGGGCUUGACUU
Molecule: ribosomal RNA, 2149 nt
Filed under: human gut metagenome
Description: bacterial LSU rRNA
Rfam family: Bacterial large subunit ribosomal RNA
Source: RNAcentral